This 183-nucleotide non-coding RNA is filed under the name Galbibacter marinus. Lineage: Bacteria; Pseudomonadati; Bacteroidota; Flavobacteriia; Flavobacteriales; Flavobacteriaceae. The record is from RNAcentral.
UAGGAAUCAGUCUAGGACGGUUUGGGUAAUACCAACUAAGAGGGAAUUGUGUGAAAAUCACAAGCUGUCGCGCAACUGUAAGUAACCAUUUAAAGUUUUUACAAUUAAAUCCACUGUUUUAAUCGAUGGGAAGGAAGUAAAAAUGUUACAAGCCAGGAGACCUACCACUACUAAAAUGAUAAU